This 548-nucleotide ribosomal RNA is filed under the name uncultured bacterium. RNAcentral's name for it is "bacterial SSU rRNA". It matches the Rfam family "Bacterial small subunit ribosomal RNA", at positions 355 to 896 of the family's 1533-position model. The record is from RNAcentral.
UAGGGAAUCUUCCGCAAUGGGCGAAAGCCUGACGGAGCAACGCCGCGUGAGUGAAGAAGGAUUUCGGUUCGUAAAGCUCUGUUGUUAGGGAAGAAUGAUUGUGUAGUAACUAUACACAGUAGAGACGGUACCUAACCAGAAAGCCACGGCUAACUACGUGCCAGCAGCCGCGGUAAUACGUAGGUGGCAAGCGUUGUCCGGAAUUAUUGGGCGUAAAGCGCGCGCAGGUGGUUCAAUAAGUCUGAUGUGAAAGCCCACGGCUCAACCGUGGAGGGUCAUUGGAAACUGUUAAACUUGAGUGCAGGAGAGAAAAGUGGAAUUCCUAGUGUAGCGGUGAAAUGCGUAGAGAUUAGGAGGAACACCAGUGGCGAAGGCGGCUUUUUGGCCUGUAACUGACACUGAGGCGCGAAAGCGUGGGGAGCAAACAGGAUUAGAUACCCUGGUAGUCCACGCCGUAAACGAUGAGUGCUAAGUGUUGGUCUCAUAAGAGAUCAGUGCUGCAGCUAACGCAUUAAGCACUCCGCCUGGGGAGUACGACCGCAAGGUUG